UACGUAGGGUGCAAGCGUUAAUCGGAAUUACUGGGCGUAAAGCGUGCGCAGGCGGUUUUGUAAGUCUGUCGUGAAAUCCCCGGGCUCAACCUGGGAAUGGCGAUGGAGACUGCAAGGCUGGAAUCUGGCAGAGGGGGGUAGAAUUCCACGUGUAGCAGUGAAAUGCGUAGAGAUGUGGAGGAACACCGAUGGCGAAGGCAGCCCCCUGGGCUAAGAUUGACGCUCAUGCACGAAAGCGUGGGGAGCAAACAGG
This 253-nucleotide ribosomal RNA is filed under the name uncultured bacterium. Its description in RNAcentral is "partial 16S ribosomal RNA". It matches the Rfam family "Bacterial small subunit ribosomal RNA", at positions 524 to 776 of the family's 1533-position model. The record is from RNAcentral.